UACGUAGGGUGCGAGCGUUGUCCGGAAUUACUGGGCGUAAAGAGCUCGUAGGUGGUUUGUCGCGUUGUUCGUGAAAACCUGAGGCUUAACCUUGGGCGUGCGGGCGAUACGGGCAGACUGGAGUACUGCAGGGGAGACUGGAAUUCCUGGUGUAGCGGUGAAAUGCGUAGAUAUCCGGAGGAACACCGGUGGCGAAGGCGGCUUCCUGGACCGACACUGACGCUGAGGCGCGAAAGCUAGGGGAGCAAACGGG
Molecule: ribosomal RNA, 253 nt
Filed under: uncultured bacterium
Lineage: Bacteria
Description: partial 16S ribosomal RNA
Rfam family: Bacterial small subunit ribosomal RNA
Source: RNAcentral